RNAcentral lists this small nucleolar RNA (100 nucleotides) under Cricetulus griseus (Chinese hamster). RNAcentral's name for it is "Small nucleolar RNA SNORA11 (ENSCGRG00015026430.2)". It matches the Rfam family "Small nucleolar RNA SNORA11", at positions 26 to 129 of the family's 129-position model. Rfam says of the family: U107 (SNORA11) is a member of the H/ACA class of snoRNAs that guide the sites of modification of uridines to pseudouridines. This snoRNA was identified by RT-PCR from blood cells and its expression confirmed by Northern blot analysis. There is no predicted target for this guide snRNA. The record is from RNAcentral. Lineage: Eukaryota; Metazoa; Chordata; Mammalia; Rodentia; Cricetidae.
GGGGUGUGGCUUCUCUGUUUACCACACACCCGAGAAGAAUCUGGGGCCAUAAUGAGGGACACAGCACCAUGUCCUCUCCAUAAGCAGAUCCCCUACUUGU